Molecule: unclassified non-coding RNA, 21 nt
Filed under: Dictyostelium discoideum
Lineage: Eukaryota; Evosea; Eumycetozoa; Dictyosteliales; Dictyosteliaceae
Source: RNAcentral
CGAUUCCCGCUCUGAAUACCA